GAUGAACGUUGGCGGCGUGCCUAAUACAUGCAAGUCGAGCGAACAGACAAGGAGCUUGCUCCUUUGACGUUAGCGGCGGACGGGUGAGUAACACGUGGGUAACCUACCUAUAAGACUGGGAUAACUUCGGGAAACCGGAGCUAAUACCGGAUAAUAUUUCGAACCGCAUGGUUCGAUAGUGAAAGAUGGUUUUGCUAUCACUUAUAGAUGGACCCGCGCCGUAUUAGCUAGUUGGUAAGGUAACGGCUUACCAAGGCGACGAUACGUAGCCGACCUGAGAGGGUGAUCGGCCACACUGGAACUGAGACACGGUCCAGACUCCUACGGGAGGCAGCAGUAGGGAAUCUUCCGCAAUGGGCGAAAGCCUGACGGAGCAACGCCGCGUGAGUGAUGAAGGUCUUCGGAUUGUAAAACUCUGUUAUUAGGGAAGAACAUACGUGUAAGUAACUAUGCACGUCUUGACGGUACCUAAUCAGAAAGCCACGGCUAACUACGUGCCAGCAGCCGCGGUAAUACGUAGGUGGCAAGCGUUAUCCGGAAUUAUUGGGCGUAAAGCGCGCGUAGGCGGUUUUUUAAGUCUGAUGUGAAAGCCUACGGCUCAACCGUGGAGGGUCAUUGGAAACUGGAAAACUUGAGUGCAGAAGAGGAAAGUGGAAUUCCAUGUGUAGCGGUGAAAUGCGCAGAGAUAUGGAGGAACACCAGUGGCGAAGGCGACUUUCUGGUCUGUAACUGACGCUGAUGUGCGAAAGCGUGGGGAUCAAACAGGAUUAGAUACCCUGGUAGUCCACGCCGUAAACGAUGAGUGCUAAGUGUUAGGGGGUUUCCGCCCCUUAGUGCUGCAGCUAACGCAUUAAGCACUCCGCCUGGGGAGUACGACCGCAAGGUUGAAACUCAAAGGAAUUGACGGGGACCCGCACAAGCGGUGGAGCAUGUGGUUUAAUUCGAAGCAACGCGAAGAACCUUACCAAAUCUUGACAUCCUUUGACAACUCUAGAGAUAGAGCCUUCCCCUUCGGGGGACAAAGUGACAGGUGGUGCAUGGUUGUCGUCAGCUCGUGUCGUGAGAUGUUGGGUUAAGUCCCGCAACGAGCGCAACCCUUAAGCUUAGUUACCAUCAUUAAGUUGGGCACUCUAAGUUGACUGCCGGUGACAAACCGGAGGAAGGUGGGGAUGACGUCAAAUCAUCAUGCCCCUUAUGAUUUGGGCUACACACGUGCUACAAUGGACAAUACAAAGGGCAGCGAAACCGCGAGGUCAAGCAAAUCCCAUAAAGUUGUUCUCAGUUCGGAUUGUAGUCUGCAACUCGACUACAUGAAGCUGGAAUCGCUAGUAAUCGUAAAUCAGCAUGCUACGGUGAAUACGUUCCCGGGUC
Molecule: ribosomal RNA, 1371 nt
Filed under: uncultured bacterium
Lineage: Bacteria
Description: bacterial SSU rRNA
Rfam family: Bacterial small subunit ribosomal RNA
Source: RNAcentral